Molecule: ribosomal RNA, 536 nt
Filed under: uncultured bacterium
Lineage: Bacteria
Description: bacterial SSU rRNA
Rfam family: Bacterial small subunit ribosomal RNA
Source: RNAcentral
AAUAGAUACCCUGGUAGUCCACGCCGUAAACGAUGAGUGCUAAGUGUUAGAGGGUUUCCGCCCCUUAGUGCUGAAGUUAACGCAUUAAGCACUCCGCCUGGGGAGUACGGCCGCAAGGCUGAAACUCAAAGGAAUUGACGGGGGCCCACACAGGCGGUGGAGCAUGUGGUUUAAUUCGAAGCAACGCGAAGAACCUUACCAGGUCUUGACAUCCUCUGACAACCCUAGAGAUAGGGCUUUCCCUUCGGGGACAGAGUGACAGGUGGUGCAUGGUUGUCGUCAGCUCGUGUCGUGAGAUGUUGGGUUAAGUCCCGCAACGAGCGCAACCCUUGAUCUUAGUUGCCAGCAUUUAGUUGGGCACUCUAAGGUGACUGCCGGUGACAAACCGGAGGAAGGUGGGGAUGACGUCAAAGUCAUCAUGCCCCUUAUGACCUGGGCUACACACGUGCUACAAUGGAUGGUACAAAGAGCUGCGAACCCGCGAGGGUAAGCCAAUCUCAUAAAGCCAUUCUCAGUUCGGAUUGUAGGCUGCUAAC